ACUCUCCUGUGACCGAUAGCGAACCAGUACCGUGAGGGAAAGGUGAAAAGCACCCCGAGAGGGGAGUGAAACAGUACCUGAAACCGUGCGCCUACAAGCAGUCGGAGCCCCCGAGCGGGGUGACGGCGUGCCUUUUGUAGAAUGAGCCAGCGAGUUGCGGUAUGCGGCGAGGUUAAGGUUUGAACCGAGCCGCAGUGAAAGCGAGCCUUUAAGAUGGCGAUAGAGUCGCAUGCUGCAGACGCGAAGCCGGGUGAGCUAUCCAUGGGCAGGCUGAAGCGGGGGUAAGACCCCGUGGAGGGCCGAACCCACUUCGGUUGAAAACGGAGGGGAUGACCCGUGGAUAGGGGUGAAAGGCCAAUCAAACCCGGAGAUAUCUCGUUCUCCCCGAAAUAGCUUUAGGGCUAGCCUCGGCCGUUCUCCGACGGCGGUAGAGCACUGGAUCGUCGAGGGGGCUUCACCGCCUACCGACACGAACCAAACUCCGAAUGCCGCCGGAUCAGAGGCCGGGAGUCAGAACAUGUGGGCUAAGCUGUGUGUUCGAGAGGGAAACAGCCCAGACCGCCCGCUAAGGUCCCCAAAUCCAUGCUGAGUGGCAAAGGAUGUGCGUUUGCCUAGACAACCAGGAUGUUGGCUUAGAAGCAGCCAUGCAUUUAAAGAGUGCGUAACAGCUCACUGGUCAAGUGGACAUGCGCCGACAAUUCACGGGGCUAAGCAUGGUACCGAAGCGGCGGACUAAUCUAUAUUAGUGGUAGGGGAGCUUUCCCCGCAGCGGAGAAGCCGAGAGGGCGACCCUCGGUGGAGCGCGGGGAAGUGAGAAUGCUGGCAUGAGUAACGAGAGCGGCGCGAGAAACGCCGCCGCCGUAAGCCUAAGGGUUCCUGGGCAAGGCUAAUCCUCCCAGGGUCAGUCGGGAGCUAAGGCGAGGCCGAGAGGCGUAGCCGAUGCGCAACAGGCGGACAUUCCUGUACCGCCUGCGGACCGCUAUCACCGACGGGGUGACGGAGAAGGGUAGCCGAGCGGGGUUCUGGACGUCCCCGUGAAAGCGCGUAGGGAGCAUCGCAUGGAAAUCAGCGGUGCACGUAUCCUGAGACGCGAGACGAAAGCUUAUGCUGAAGUCGGCGAGCCCAUGCUUCCGAGAAAAACCUCUAGGAAGGGACGCAGGCGCCCGUACCAAAACCGACACAGGUGGGCAGGUAGAGCAUACCGAGGCGAUCGGGAGAACCAUGGUUAAGGAACUCGGCAUACUGACUCCGUAACUUCGGGAGAAGGAGUGCCCCUGGCGGUGACGGGACUUGCUCCCCGAGCGGCCGGGGGUCGCAGCGAAACGGCCCAAGCGACUGUUUAUCAAAAACACAGGACUCUGCAAAGCCGUAAGGCGACGUAUAGGGUCUGACGCCUGCCCGGUGCUGGAAGGUUACGCGGAUGGGUCAGCCGCAAGGCGAAGCUCUGAAGCCAAGCCCCAGUAAACGGCGGCCGUAACUAUAACGGUCCUAAGGUAGCGAAAUUCCUUGUCGGGUAAGUUCCGACCUGCACGAAUGGCGUAACGAUUUGGGCGCUGUCUCAACCAUGGACCCGGUGAAAUUGUAUUAUUCGUGAAGAUGCGAAUUACCUGCGGAAGGACGGAAAGACCCCGUGAACCUUUACUGCAGCUUGACAUUGAUCGUUGGCUCGGCGCGUAGAGGAUAGGCAGGAGGCUGCGAAGCCCGGGCGCCAGCCCGGGCGGAGCCGACCUUGGAAUACUGCCCUCGUCGCGUCGGCGAUCUAACCCCCGGCCGUGAUCCGGCGGGGGGACCGUGUCAGGCGGGUAGUUUGACUGGGGCGGUCGCCUCCCAAAACGUAACGGAGGCGCGCAAAGGUCCGCUCAGAACGGUCGGCAACCGUUCGCAGAGCGCAAGAGUACAAGCGGGCUUGACUGCGAGGCCCACAAGCCGAGCAGAGACGAAAGUCGGUUCUAGUGAUCCGGCGGCACAGAGUGGAAUGGCCGUCGCUCAACGGAUAAAAGGUACUCCGGGGAUAACAGGCUGAUCUUGCCCAAGAGUCCACAUCGACGGCAAGGUUUGGCACCUCGAUGUCGGCUCAUCGCAUCCUGGGGCUGAAGUCGGUCCCAAGGGUUGGGCUGUUCGCCCAUUAAAGCGGUACGCGAGCUGGGUUCAGA
Molecule: ribosomal RNA, 2153 nt
Filed under: human gut metagenome
Description: bacterial LSU rRNA
Rfam family: Bacterial large subunit ribosomal RNA
Source: RNAcentral